Long non-coding RNA from Vidua macroura (Pin-tailed whydah), 280 nucleotides. RefSeq lists it as uncharacterized. Lineage: Eukaryota; Metazoa; Chordata; Aves; Passeriformes; Viduidae. The record is from RefSeq and is a predicted model, not a curated record. The transcript is spliced from 2 exons.
CGCUGAGGGGAGGGCGAUGGCGCCGGGGCUGUUUGAGCGCCCUCGGGCACCGCUUCGCCGGAGAGCGCUGGGACCCCACACUGCCGUGGGAGGGACUGAAUUCCAUGGCCCCAUCCAGCAGCGUUUUCUGACGUUACUCAGCUUUUAGGCAUUCAGCAAAACACAAGGAUUUUGCAGCAGAAAAGUGCAAACCUGGAAGUGCUGAUGAGCAGGAGCAAGUCCGAUGCUCACCGUGACCUUCCUUGCUUAAUAAAACAUUAAUUUUUUUGUUUAAUAUAAA